UAGGACUACACACACACAAAAAAAAAAGUGAAUUCUCCAAAUUCAAUGUAUUUCGCAGGUUUCAGAUUAGAUAUGGUUUUGUUAAUGUAUUGUAAGAAAAAGGGUUGGACUCAAAAGGGAAGCCACGUUGACGCCGACGUGUAAGUCUCUGGAUGCGUUGACCUUGACCAUUCAAAUGACUAUCGAGUCGGUGUCCUUCAUUCCUUGUGCUCCUCUUCCCCAACAAUGGAAUUUUAUCCACCAUAUCGAAUCGCCGGACGCCACGUGGUGCACGCUAAGUCCCAUGUAUCUGAAUCUGUUUUCUGUUUUUUCUUUGUGUUGUCUCUUCUGAAUAAAACGUUAACACAAGUUUGAUUUUGAGGAGUUC
This is a long non-coding RNA of Arabidopsis thaliana (thale cress), 367 nucleotides long. RefSeq annotates it as other RNA. The record is from RefSeq. The transcript has a single exon. Lineage: Eukaryota; Viridiplantae; Streptophyta; Magnoliopsida; Brassicales; Brassicaceae.